RNAcentral lists this ribosomal RNA (598 nucleotides) under uncultured bacterium. RNAcentral's name for it is "bacterial SSU rRNA". It matches the Rfam family "Bacterial small subunit ribosomal RNA", at positions 324 to 916 of the family's 1533-position model. The record is from RNAcentral.
ACACUGCCCAGACGUCUACGGACGGCUGCAGUCGAGAAUCUUCCGCAAUGGACGAAAGUCUGACGGAGCGACGCCGCGUGCGGGAUGAAGGCCUUCGGGUUGUAAACCGCUGUCAGUUGGGAGGAAAUGCCAUGGGGUUCUCCCUGUGGUUUGACCGAUCUUCAGAGGAAGUACGGGCUAAGUUCGUGCCAGCAGCCGCGGUAAUACGAACCGUACGAACGUUAUUCGGAAUCACUGGGCUUAAAGAGUCCGUAGGCGGCUUGAAAGGUGAGGUGUGAAAUCCCACGGCUUAACCGUGGAACUGCGCUUCAAACCACCAAGCUAGAGGAAGAUAGAGGAAAGCGGAACUGAUGGUGGAGCGGUGAAAUGCGUUGAUAUCAUCAGGAACACCGGUGGCGAAAGCGGCUUUCUGGGUCUUUUCUGACGCUGAGGGACGAAAGCUAGGGGAGCGAACGGGAUUAGAUACCCCGGUAGUCCUAGCUGUAAACGAUGAGCACUAGUUCGAGGGGACCCCCACAUCCUCUUGGACGUAGCGAAAGUGUUAAGUGCUCCGCCUGGGGAGUAUGGUCGCAAGGCUGAAACUUAAAGGAAUUGACGG